This 803-nucleotide ribosomal RNA is filed under the name uncultured bacterium. RNAcentral's name for it is "bacterial SSU rRNA". It matches the Rfam family "Bacterial small subunit ribosomal RNA", at positions 8 to 796 of the family's 1533-position model. The record is from RNAcentral.
AGAGUUUGAUCAUGGCUCAGAACGAACGCUGGCGGCGUGCCUAACACAUGCAAGUCGAGCGAGAAAAUUGGCUUCGGCCAGUGAGUAAAGCGGCGCACGGGUGAGUAACGCGUGGACAAUCUGCCUCAUGGUUCAGAAUAACCUGCCGAAAGGCGGGCUAAUGCUGGAUAAGUUCUUUUGGACUGCGGUCUGGGAGAAGAAACGAUGCUCGCAAGGGUGUCGCCGUGAGAUGAGUCCGCGUCCCAUCAGGUAGUUGGCGGGGUAACGGCCCACCAAGCCUAAGACGGGUAGCUGGUCUGAGAGGAUGAUCAGCCACACUGGAACUGAGACACGGUCCAGACUCCUACGGGAGGCAGCAGUGGGGAAUUUUGGUCAAUGGGCGCAAGCCUGAACCAGCAACGCCGCGUGGGUGAUGAAGGCCUUCGGGUUGUAAAGCCCUGUCGGGAGGGACGAAUGAACGGCUUAACAAACCGGAAUGACGGUACCUCCAAAGGAAGCACCGGCUAACUCUGUGCCAGCAGCCGCGGUAAUACAGAGGGUGCAAGCGUUGUUCGGAAUUACUGGGCGUAAAGCGCGUGUAGGCGGUCUUCCAAGUCUGAUGUGAAAGCCCUGGGCUCAACCCAGGAAGUGCGUCAGAUACUGGUUGACUGGAGUGGCGGAGAGGAUGGCGGAAUUCCCGGUGUAGAGGUGAAAUUCGUAGAUAUCGGGAGGAACACCUGUGGCGAAGGCGGCCAUCUGGACGUCAACUGACGCUGAGACGCGAAAGCAUGGGGAGCAAACAGGAUUAGAUACCCUAGUAGUCC